Molecule: ribosomal RNA, 470 nt
Filed under: uncultured bacterium
Lineage: Bacteria
Description: bacterial SSU rRNA
Rfam family: Bacterial small subunit ribosomal RNA
Source: RNAcentral
AGAGUUUGAUCCUGGCUCAGAGCGAACGCUGGCGGCAUGCUUAACACAUGCAAGUCGCACGGUCAGCAAUGGCAGUGGCGGACGGGUGAGUAACACGUAGGAAUCUAUCCUGGGGUGGGGGACAACAGUGGGAAACUACUGCUAAUACCGCAUGAUACCUGAGGGUCAAAGGCGCGAGUCGCCUUGGGAGGAGCCUGCGUCUGAUUAGCUUGUUGGUGGGGUAAAGGCCUACCAAGGCGACGAUCAGUAGCUGGUCUGAGAGGAUGAUCAGCCACAUUGGGACUGAGACACGGCCCAAACUCCUACGGGAGGCAGCAGUGGGGAAUAUUGGACAAUGGGGGAAACCCUGAUCCAGCAAUGCCGCGUGUGUGAAGAAGGUCUUCGGAUUGUAAAGCACUUUUGGCAGGGACGAUGAUGACGGUACCUGCAGAAUAAGCCCCGGCUAACUUCGUGCCAGCAGCCGCGGUAAU